Molecule: ribosomal RNA, 427 nt
Filed under: uncultured bacterium
Lineage: Bacteria
Description: partial 16S ribosomal RNA
Rfam family: Bacterial small subunit ribosomal RNA
Source: RNAcentral
UGGGGAAUAUUGGACAAUGGGCGAAAGCCUGAUCCAGCCAUGCCGCGUGUGUGAAGAAGGUCUUCGGAUUGUAAAGCACUUUAAGUUGGGAGGAAGGGCAUUAACCUAAUACGUUAGUGUUUUGACGUUACCGACAGAAUAAGCACCGGCUAACUCUGUGCCAGCAGCCGCGGUAAUACAGAGGGAGCAAGCGUUAAUCGGAAUUACUGGGCGUAAAGCGCGCGUAGGUGGUUUGUUAAGUUGGAUGUGAAAUCCCCGGGCUCAACCUGGGAACUGCAUUCAAAACUGACUGACUAGAGUAUGGUAGAGGGUGGUGGAAUUUCCUGUGUAGCGGUGAAAUGCGUAGAUAUAGGAAGGAACACCAGUGGCGAAGGCGACCACCUGGACUAAUACUGACACUGAGGUGCGAAAGCGUGGGGAGCAAACA